CCCAUCCUAAACCGGUAGGACGCGAGCAGUCAAAAGGAUCGUUUGGACAGCAGUUGGAACAAAUAAACAAGGUUGUUGUUGUUUUCUAGUUAGUGCAAAGGACCGCAGGUGAUCAAAUAAAGUUUUGUGUCUAAUUUGGUGAAGUGUAAAGACCAAGGAAUCUCAUCGACCAGCUAUAUCAUAUUGGUGUUGCUGCUAGACGAACCUUGAAAAUUGCAUCAUAAAUUAGUUUUCUAUAACCAGCCGCCAUAUCACACACAUACAAAUAUGUUCCGUCCGGCCACAAAGUUUCAACCAUCCAUCACCUAACAAGCAUUCUCUCGGAGCAUUACACGAGUGAAAUGGCACCAACACACGGGUACCCACCACGCUCACACUACAUUCGAAAGAUUGGCAUCUCCACCACUACAAAUCUCUCGGAAGUACCUGGAAAUUACGUUGCAUAUUUUCAUACACUCAUUGGCACCG
This is a long non-coding RNA of Bradysia coprophila, 468 nucleotides long. The record is from RefSeq and is a predicted model, not a curated record. NCBI's taxonomy places the organism in Eukaryota, Metazoa, Arthropoda, Insecta, Diptera, Sciaridae.